RNAcentral lists this long non-coding RNA (2624 nucleotides) under Gossypium barbadense (sea-island cotton). RNAcentral's name for it is "long non-coding RNA (GBAR_LNC018273)". The record is from RNAcentral. Lineage: Eukaryota; Viridiplantae; Streptophyta; Magnoliopsida; Malvales; Malvaceae.
ACACACACACACACACACACAUAUAUAUAUCAUUACGUCUUAUCAAAUUCAUAUACCAAGCAUACCCCACGCCUUUACUAUGACCAAAAUUACUUAAACCUUGGAUCAUUAGCAUUAGAUCAAGCCAUUUUCGCAUGGCUAAAUAUAUAUACAAAAACUAAAUUAAAAACUAGCCUAUACAUGCCACAUAACCAAAAACUCAAAGCUUUAAUUUACCGAAGCCAUAACCGGAUAGUGUGAUCACGACUCCAACGUCUUCCAACCCGAGCAAGUCUUUAGAACUCUAAAAAAAACAUAAGAAAAACACACAGAGUAAGCUAUUACAGCUUAGUAAGUCAUAAGCAAAUAGAUAACUUAACAACAUUAAUUAGUUACAACAAAAUCAAAUCAUGUUUUCAAUAUUCGUAUACAUUUCCAUAAUCGAAAAAUACAUUUAUCAAACACGUACUAUACAUCAAAUCCAUAUUUAACCAAAUACACAUAAGUUUAACAUUUGGCCGAAUGUAUAUAUAUAUAUAUCAAACAAUUUCAUGACAACCAAUAUAUGUACAUACUCACUAAUCACAAAGAUCCGAACGUUUAUAUGCUCAUCAAAUACAUUGAAACAAAUGUUCAUAUAUUUAUCCAUUACAUAUAACCAAAAUCAUAUAUAUAUAUACACCCAAUGCAUAUAAUCACUUAAUUUAAACAGAUUCACUGGCACUUCACCUGCUAGGCUUAUAGCCUGAUUCAGUUCACCGACACUUAGCUUGCUAGGCUUAUAGCCUGAUUCAGUUCACCGGCACUUAGCCUGCUAGGCUAAUAGCCUGAUUCAGUUCACCGGCACUUAGCCUGCUAGGCUUAUAGCCUGAUUCAGUUCACCGGCACUUAGCCUACUAGGCUUAUAGCCUGAUUCAGUUCACCGGCACUUAGCCUGCUAGACGUAAAGUCCAAAACAUUUCACCGGCAAUUAAUCUGAUUGGUACUAAGCUUUAAAAAAAAAUCUCAAUUCACAAAAGUUGUAUCUCAUAUUUGUAUAUAGAAUCCACAUAAAAUUCAGCUCAAUAAUUUAUAAACUAUAUCUUUAAAUAACAUAGAUGUAUAAAGUUCAAACAUCAAUUCCAGCUCAAUAAUUUAAUUAUACAUCCAAACCUAUAUAUAUAUAUAACUUAAUGCAUUAAUCUACUACUAAUAUCAUAUAUUCGAUCAUCUUUUAAUAAUCCAACUAAUAAUUUCAUACUUUCAAUGCUAUUCAAGAACUUUACAUGAAUAUAUACUUGUAUAUUAGCAUAACCGAACCUCGUGUAACCUUGUAUAAUUGUCAUACCUAAAUUCACUAUAAAAUCAUAUACGUGUAUGUAUACCUGAUCAUUCAAAUAUAAUAUAUAUAUAAUUACCAACUCACAUAUACAAAUAUAAGUUACAUAUCUUAAUCAAAUAUAAGAGUUUAUACAUAUAUAUAUUUAUAUACAUAUAUUCGGACCUAAUAUACAUAUAUAUGUAUAUAUCAUACUUACCUUGGAUUAAAACCAAGAAUUUAUACAUAUACAACAUUCAUACUUCCACUAAAUUCAAAAACUAUAUAUAUACAUAUGUAUAUAUAUUCGAUCAUUAUGUAUAUAAUUAUAAAUAUAUAUAUACAUAUUCAUACCUUUAUCUAAAUUCAAGGUUUAUUCAUGCUAUUACAUAUAUUUUUGAAUCUAUCAUAUACAAGUAUAGUUUCUUACCUAAUUUCAUUACAAUAGAUUUUCAUAUAUAUACAUGCCUAUCUGAAUCUCACCUUUACUUAUAUAAAAUUUAAACCUAUAAUUUAACUCAUGAACUUAUACAAGAUUAUACUUGUAUAUUCGAAACUAUCAAAUACUUAUAUAAAAUUUAUACUUAUACUUCAAAUUAUAAACAUUUAAUUACAGCUCAUCAAGUAUACAAUCGAUAUACAUGUAUAAAUAUUGAUUUAUUAACUUUUAAAUUGCUAAUAGACUUACCUCGGAUAUCGACGGACAUAGUCGACUACUUUCGACUUUCCCCGAUCUAAUUCCGUUUUCUUCUGUUCUUGAUUUAAAUAAGUUCAAAUUUAACUAAUUUAACCAAAUAUUCAUUUAAUUAAAUCCAAAAACACAUAAAUGGGUAAAUUACACUUUUUCCCCUAACAUUUCACAUUUUUCACAAACUAGUCCCUAUUUCACAAAAAUACAAAAUAAACAAACUUUCCUUGCACAAUAGCUUGGCCGAAUAUGCACUAAGCUCAUAUAAAUCCAUGCAUGUCAUUUAUUUCACAUUUUAGUCCCUCAAUUUAUUAUUUUUGCAAUUUAGCCUUAAUUACUCAAAAUCAUCAAAAAUUCAAUUUCAACAUAUAUAUAUAUCCAUUUCAUAUAUUUUAUUUUCUAUCAUUAAACAACAAAAUUACAAGCUUUCAACAAUGGCAAAACACAAAAUCAUCAUCAAAUUCAAAAAUUUAAGCAUGAGUCGAGUAGUAUUCGAAACAACGAUCUCAAAAACAUAAAAAUCAUCAAAAACCGAAACCGAAACAUACCUUAAUUUGCUUGAGCAAGGGCCGAAUACCUAGCUUGGUUUUCUUAUUUUCUUUCUCUUUUCAUUCGGCACAAAGAUAAUGAAUAUGACCACUUUCUUAUGUUUUGUUUUUA